This 499-nucleotide long non-coding RNA is filed under the name Carassius auratus (goldfish). Its description in RNAcentral is "lncRNA (ENSCARG00000008112.1)". The record is from RNAcentral. Lineage: Eukaryota; Metazoa; Chordata; Actinopteri; Cypriniformes; Cyprinidae.
AGGGAAACCAAUCUUGAAUCUUCAUUCCUAAACUGAAGGAUCGGAGCAGUGUCCAUCAUCUGUCCUGAAACUUUUGGCAUUUAUCGUGACCCGUGACGUGAUUGAGCCACCUCAAAGGAUUACCAGACAAAGGCAUCAGAAGAUCCAUUGUUGAGCAAGUGACGUACUGCAAAAUUUUCUCCAAAUCUGUUCAGAUCGAGAAGCUGACUCAUCUACAUCUUGGAUGGUCUGAGGAAUAGAUUGGAUCGAAAAUUAAAAGCUUGAUGAUGUCAGCAGCAAGGAAAUGUGUUUCAGAGGUGGAGACACUUCAUAUUCCAUGAACAAACACGUCCGUCCCAAAUGGCUUGGCAGCAUGAGAAUGAAAGCACAGACUGUACGUCUGAAUCCAGACCCAUGCCAGCAGCUGGGAGUUACACCCAUUCAUAUGGCCUCUGGAGAUAAACUCAAUGGGGUUAAAUUAAUCUCAUUGGGCGACUGCAGCCUAAAGGGCUCAAGAUAA